AAUUGACGGGGACCCGCACAAGCGGUGGAUGAUGUGGAUUAAUUCGAUGCAACGCGAAAAACCUUACCUACCCUUGACAUGCUAGGAAUCCUGCAGAGAUGUGGGAGUGCUCGAAAGAGAACCUAGACACAGGUGCUGCAUGGCCGUCGUCAGCUCGUGUCGUGAGAUGUUCGGUUAAGUCCGGCAACGAGCGCAACCCACAUCCUUAGUUGCCAGCAGUUCGGCUGGGCACUCUAAGGAAACUGCCCGUGAUAAGCGGGAGGAAGGUGUGGAUGACGUCAAGUCCUCAUGGCCCUUACAGGCUGGGCUACACACGUGCUACAAUGGCGAUGACAGUGGGCAGCGACCCCGCAAGGGUGAGCUAAUCUCCAAAAGUCGUCUCAGUUCGGAUUGUCCUCUGCAACUCGAGGGCAUGAAGGCGGAAUCGCUAGUAAUCGCGGAUCAGCAUGCCGCGGUGAAUACGUUCCCAGGCCUUGUACACACCGCCCGUCACACCAUGGAAGCUGGUCACACCCAAAGUCGUUAUUCUAACCGUUUGGAGGAAGGCGCCUAAGGUAGGAUUGGUGACUGGGGUGAAGUCGUAACAAGGUAGCCGUAUCGGAAGGUGCGGCUGGAUCACCU
RNAcentral lists this ribosomal RNA (621 nucleotides) under Prymnesium parvum. Its description in RNAcentral is "partial Bacterial small subunit ribosomal RNA". It matches the Rfam family "Bacterial small subunit ribosomal RNA", at positions 908 to 1528 of the family's 1533-position model. The record is from RNAcentral. Lineage: Eukaryota; Haptophyta; Prymnesiales; Prymnesiaceae.